AGUGAACGCUGGCGGCAGGCCUAACACAUGCAAGUCAAACGGCAGCACAGUAAGAGCUUGCUCUUACGGGUGGCGAGUGGCGGACGGGUGAGGAAUACAUCGGAAUCUACUUUUUCGUGGGGGAUAACGUAGGGAAACUUACGCUAAUACCGCAUACGACCUACGGGUGAAAGCAGGGGAUCUUCGGACCUUGCGCGAGUGUAUGAGCCGAUGUCGGAUUAGCUAGUUGGCGGGGUAAAGGCCCACCAAGGCGACGAUCCGUAGCUGGUCUGAGAGGAUGAUCAGCCACACUGGAACUGAGACACGGUCCAGACUCCUACGGGAGGCAGCAGUGGGGAAUAUUGGACAAUGGGCGCAAGCCUGAUCCAGCCAUACCGCGUGGGUGAAGAAGGCCUUCGGGUUGUAAAGCCCUUUUGUUGGGAAAGAAAAGCAGCAGGUUAAUACCCCGCUGUUCUGACGGUACCCAAAGAAUAAGCACCGGCUAACUUCGUG
Molecule: ribosomal RNA, 492 nt
Filed under: uncultured bacterium
Lineage: Bacteria
Description: partial 16S ribosomal RNA
Rfam family: Bacterial small subunit ribosomal RNA
Source: RNAcentral